Molecule: non-coding RNA, 64 nt
Organism: Mercenaria mercenaria
Lineage: Eukaryota; Metazoa; Mollusca; Bivalvia; Venerida; Veneridae
Source: the annotation of a RefSeq genome assembly
CAAAAUAUAAUUUAAAAUAAAAUGUUAGCUUUGGGAGUUAAAAAUGUUUAAUAAACUGUUUUGA